Long non-coding RNA from Pan troglodytes (chimpanzee), 1825 nucleotides. The record is from Ensembl. Lineage: Eukaryota; Metazoa; Chordata; Mammalia; Primates; Hominidae.
ACUUUCUGCAUGAGGACAAGGACCUGGUCUGUUAGAGCAGGAGUCCUCAACCCCCAGGCCACAGACUGGUACCAGUCUGCAGCCUCUUAGGAACUGGGCCAUACAGCAGGAGCACAUGGGGAAGUAUCAACGUCAUCGUCAUCAUCAUCAUCAUCUUUCUACAGAGGAAACUGAGGCCCAGAGACGGUGAACUUCCUGCCCAAGCCUCAGACUUGCCCUAACCCUGGGGUCACAGUGGACCUCUUCCAGCCUCUUGAAUGCUAAGUCAGGAGGGGGAAGGGUGGGAGAGGGGAGGAGGAGGGGGAGAAGGAGGGGUGGGGGACUCCAUUCAAAUCCCGUCUUCCUCCUGUCGCAUACCUGCCAGAGAUAGACGAAGCAGACCACGAUCCAGACGAGAGGCAGCCACAGCCCGUUGAGGUAGAGGACGCUCUCGGUCAGCCGCUGCACGUCCACGGACACCAGGUUGACCACAUCACCCACCGCACUGGCCUUUCUGGAGCCACUGGACAGAGCCAGGACCUGGCGGGUGGGCAGAAGGAGAGAAGUAAAGUGGGGAGGCCGGGGCAGAGGGAUGCCCCAGGUGGCUUCUCCACCCAGUGAGCCCCACUUCACGCGUCUGCGAGGUGGAAACCGAGGCAGAGAGAAGUUGAGCAACUUGCCCAAAGUCACAGCCCUUGUAAGCGCCUACACAAGGAAUGGAAUCCAGGGUGACGAAGGCAUGACAAGGCCCUCCCUUUGUGACUGCGUGAGGGAGUGAAGAAGUGAUCCAGGAAUGACUGGACAUAGAAAUUCUCCACUUAGCAAGUCUUUGAAGAGUGCCCACUGUGUGACUCACACUGAGCUGGGAACUGAAAAUACAGCUGUGAACAACAGAGAUGAGGCUUGCUCUCCCGGGACUGGAGUUUGAGGUGGGGAACAAGGCUCUAUAAUAAAGAUUUAUAUAACUGGCUGGGCACAGUGGCUCACACCUGUAAUCCCAGCACUUUGGGAGGCUGAGGCGGAUGGAUUGCUUGAGGCCGGGAGUUCGAGAUCAGCCUGGCCAAUAUGGCAAAACCCCAUCUCUAGUAAAAAUACAAAAAUUAACUGGGCAUGCUGGUGGGCGCCUGUAAUCCCAGCUACUUGGGAGGGUGAGGCAGGACAAUUGCUUGAACCCAGGAGGCAGAGGUUGCAGUGAGCCAAGAUUGCACCACUGCACUACAGCCUGGGUGACAGAGUGAGACUCUGUCUCAAAAAAAUAAGACAAAACAAAAACAUUUCUAUAACUCAUGCUUUAAUGGCAGUUAUGAUGAGUAACAUACAAAAGUAGCCCAGGCUGAGCGCGUUGGCUCAUGUCUGUAAUCCCAGCACUUUGGGAGGCUGAGGUGGGUGGAUCACCUGAGGUCAGGAGUUCGAUACCAGCUUGGCCAACAUGGUGAAACCCUGUCUACUAAAAAUACAAAAUUAGCCGGGCAUGGUGGCGCACACCUGUAAUCCCAGCUACUCAGGAAGCUGAGACAGGAGAAUCACUUGAACCCAGGGGGCGGAGGUUGUAGUGAGCCGAGACUGUGCCACUGCACUCCAGCCUGGGCAACAAGAGGGAAACUCUGUCAGAAAAAAAAAAAAAAAAAGCCCAGAGGUUAGAGAGGGACGGAUCUGAUCUCAUCAGGAGAUCAAAGAAGGCCUCUGGCGGGUGGUGGGGAAUAGGAAGAUCAAUGCCGUGCUCACCAGGCUGCCUUCCUCUUAGGCUCAAGGAAAUGUGGACUCUCAAGACAGGAUAGGGCACACCCAGCUCUGGCAUGCUCAGGGGAACAGCAGCCCUGGGACGCAGCACUCUGGCAGGACAGCA